UUGCGAAAUAAUAUUUUAUUUUGAAAAUACACCAACACAAAUUACAACAAAUAAUGGUUCAUUAUAAAGAGAAAAGUCAAUCUUUCAGCUAUAAACUCCACUAUCAGUUACACCAAAUUAAUCAAGUUGGUUUUCUAAAUUCACAUCCAAAUGUCAUUUGCUUUUAUAAACUCCUCUAUCAGUUAGAAAAUAAUAAUAUUCUUUCCCGAUUGUAAAUAUAUAAUAUCAAACAAAAUUGAACACAAAGAAGAUCAAAACUAAACACAUGUAGGAGGGACAAAGCUUAAUAAGGUUAGAGAAAAAGGAAAAUUAUCUAGAAGGAGUUGGGCAUCCUCUCUUGUACGUAGAGCAUUUUUCCUGCACUUUCUGAUCUUUGUUUACAGGUGGGAUGCAACUCCUAUAGGGUUUUCCCCUUCCGCAGUUCGCAGCAGGAUUUUGAGGGUCCCUGGUACUUUCAGUUACAUAUUGGUUUUCACUAGCAAGCAUUCUUCCGAUUUCAGAGUCCAUCAAGAAUUCCAACUCCAUGUUCGCAGCGAUGGUGGCAAAGCGGCCACUGCCAUUAAACUCCGUCAGUGAAGCACCGAUUGCUCUAAUUCGGCUCACGUCCAGAAGAAUCAUUAGCGUAAUCACAGCUCCGAGAGUUAGACCCCUUCCCACUAUAACUUCCAUACAUAAUUUUCUCUUUCCUUCUCUCUUCAGCCAACUCUUU
This 709-nucleotide long non-coding RNA is filed under the name Theobroma cacao (cacao). RNAcentral describes it as "long non-coding RNA (TCAC_LNC002589)". Lineage: Eukaryota; Viridiplantae; Streptophyta; Magnoliopsida; Malvales; Malvaceae. The record is from RNAcentral.